GUGAACGAUGCCAAAAUAGAAGAGACGAAAAAAAACAAACAAAAUCGGGACGAAUAACAGUCAGAUUAUUUUCAGAGGGUCUUUGCGUCGUUGAAUCCGCUGCAGCACCGGGCGAAGGCAAGAAUCUGGAGCACCUAACAGACGCCUGUCAAGACGAUGGAGAAAAGACAAAAGAAAAAGAUAAUGGAACGGUUCGUUCGUGAGUCGUUUGACACACAAGAUUGUGAAAGAGUGGAAUACUACUAGGACGUGAACUCUACGCCAGACCCCACCAGACAACACUUUAUCCCGCUAUUGUGGCUGAGAGCCAAGGAGACGCAUAUUUGCAUCGGGAAUUAUUUAGAUUAUAAAGUACCCCAAAACAAGAUCCCUGGCAACAACAACGGAAAACACAAUAGUUUAUUCGAAAAUGUUUUAGCUAUUUAUAGCAGGGUGCGUUGGUGAUCAUAUCUGCGCAUAUCGUCGAUCGCCGUGAGAAACCCAAGUUCUCGCUAUCUACUUAGGAGGAGCGUCUCUUUCGCGUGUGUGGUAUGUUACGCAAUGGGGGUCUCCAGUCGAUUCCGGAUUCUUUUUCCGAGGGAAAAAAAGAACAAACGCGAAACGAUGGCAGACAUCAAGGAAAAACAAGAAGAAGAAGAGUAUCCCUUAAAGUUAGUCUCGGAUAUGGCAGAGGGCACCAGCAGGGAGGGGGGGGCGGAAUUGAUUGGUGUUAUUUUUGUUUUAAAAAAGAAAAAAAAAGAAGAGGACGGACGCGAUGGAAUGGG
Molecule: long non-coding RNA, 764 nt
Organism: Daphnia carinata
Lineage: Eukaryota; Metazoa; Arthropoda; Branchiopoda; Diplostraca; Daphniidae
Exons: 5
Source: RefSeq, a predicted model, not a curated record